Molecule: unclassified non-coding RNA, 375 nt
Filed under: uncultured Alphaproteobacteria bacterium
Lineage: Bacteria; Pseudomonadati; Pseudomonadota; Alphaproteobacteria
Description: contains 16S-23S intergenic spacer region
Source: RNAcentral
UCCGGCUUAUCACCGGCGGUUUCCUUAGAGUGCCCAACUAAAUGAUGGCAACUAAGGACGAGGGUUGCGCUCGUUGCGGGACUUAACCCAACAUCUCACGACACGAGCUGACGACAGCCAUGCAGCACCUGUCACCGCGUCCCCGAAGGGAACUCCAAAUCUCUCUGGAUAGCGCGGGAUGUCAAAGGCUGGUAAGGUUCUGCGCGUUGCUUCGAAUUAAGCCACAUACUCCACCGCUUGUGCAGGCCCCCGUCAAUUUCUUUGAGUUUCAACCUUGCGGCCGUACUCCCCAGGCGGUCAACUUCACGCGUUAGCUUCGUUACUGAACAGCAAGCCGUCCAACAACCAGUUGACAUCGUUUAGGGCGUGGACUAC